ACCUUUUCAUUUGAUGUAUGGGCGGUGAGUGGCCUAUAAAUAGUGUGGCCUCUGUAACAUACCAGAUUUUGGUAUAAAAAUAAAAAUAAAUAAAAAUAGUGUGAGAAACUAUUUUUAUUGGAUUUGUAGGAGUAAAACAUAAGUCAGAAGUGACUUGUGCUGAAAUCGGAAUGAAAACAGAAAAUCUAAAAUUUUCUGUUGGAAACGGGACAGAUAAAUUAGCAGAAAAUGCAGAGUCUCAGAAAAUCAUGAAAAUUGGAGGAUAAGUUAGAAAUAUUUUUAUGAGGCUAGAUUUAAAGUUUCAUAUUUUUCUGACACCCGUAGAGUGAGAAAUAAAAUCCGACAGCUAUCUGAUAAAGAUUGCAGUUCGGUACAGUUUUCAGUGACCAAACGGGGUCGAAACUGAACCAGUGAUCGUCAGCUUGUUAAGUUAAGUAAAACCGAACAUGACUGUCAAGUUUGAGCUCAAACGGACAUUCAGGGAGCUCCGGCGAAAGUUAUCAGAUUUUAAGUUGCCUGGAUGAAUAGUGUUUGAGGGGUAUUAUGAAGAAGCUGAUGCUUCUUCUUCUCCUUCGGCCGCACACCACACACGCACACGCCACACACACACACGCAUGGAAAGAGGGAGAAAGAGAAGCCUCCAUUUUCUCUCUCUAAAUCUCUCCCAAAAUGGAUGGAUUUGGUGGAGAAGUAAGCUUGGAAGUUGAUCUUCAUCAACUUCAUCUUCUUCCUCUCCAUUGGAGCAUGCUUUGAAGGUAAGCUUUAAGAGCUUUAAUGGCAUUUCUCUAUUGCUUGGGUUUUAAGCUCUAGAAACGAAUUAGUAGCUUUCCUAGAUGCUAAGUAGAUGAUUUAUGCUUAGAUCCUAAGUUCUAAUGGUGGAUUUUUACCUAUUGAAACCUAGAGCUCCAAAAUGAGGGCUUUAAUGGUAGAUCUCUAAAGAUAGGUCUAAAUGCUUUGGAAAUGGUUUUAGUGGAACCCAUUGAUGCCUAAUAGAUGAUUAAUGCUUGAAUCAUAGAGCAAUUUAAUGAUUUCUUGCAUAGUUGUAAACCUAGGGCUCAAAAUGCAAACUUUCAAAAUAUGAGGGUUUGAUCUCAUUUGACCCUCCGUAAACCAAAUUGCUAGGUAAACGAACGCGUUGGCGAAGACGGUUCGGCAAUCCGACGAGCCGUUACAAAGUUAUUAAAGAAAUGGACGUUUAGGCUUCGGGUCCGCCGGGAGGGCCGAGGCGAUAUCGUAAAUUCAUGAAAAUGGAUUUGAAGCAUCGUGGCACAUAACCGAAGACCUUUAAUUUUCGGAUCGUGAAUUGGAGGCCGUUCGGGUGGUCGCGUGAGAGAUCGGGCCAAACCGGGUGCCGGGUGCCGCGGGAGGCCGAUUGCAAGUGUCGACAAGCAAUCGGAAUGCGAAAUGAGGUGGGUUGUGCUUACCGAAGCGACUAGGUCGCCCUUUAUGUCUAAGAAAUGAGAUUUCAUAUUGAUGCAUAUUGACAUAAUAUAAGAAUGUGAAAAGAAUGCAUGUUAACAUACUAUAGAAAUGCUAGAUAAAUGCAUAUGAUUAAUGCUUUGAAUGCAUAAUAUAAAGGGCGUAUGAAUGUUAGCAUUAUAAGAACAUCAUAAAAGGAAUGUAUGAUGACAUGUUGUAGAAUAUGCUAAAUGUAAUGCAUAAUGAAUUAAGUGCUAAAAGAAUGCAUGAGAUGCUAAGUAUGGACUAUUUUGGAUAAUGACUAUAUGUAUGUUGACAAAUCAUGUGAUGCUAGUGGUAUAUGUGCAUGAUGAUAUAUUAUGAAUUUACAUAUUGUGGAUUAUGUUAAAUAGAAAAACAUACUUGAUGACAUAUUGCCAUGUUGUGGAACAUAGUGGACAAUCUAUAUAUAUAUUAGAUCGAGUGGCAUUAAACCUAGCAUCUUGAACCUAGCAAACACUUGUGGUGAUUGAUCAUAUAUAUUCUGGUGUCAUUCAUGUAUGUUAGGACCCUAUUAUUGUGUAAAUGUGAGAGUUGGACUUGAACAUUAGUAAACAAGGGUGACAAUGACAAUAGAGACAUGAUUGGCAUCAAGAAAGUGAUUGUUAAACAUAGUUUAACCAUAUUGACAUUGGUCCAAGUUGACAUAGAGUGGCAUGAUUAAAUAGGUAGAAACCUAUUGUGACAUUGGCAUUGUGACUAGUGGCUAUGUAUCCUCAAGUUGAGGAUUGGAUCGAUACUCACGAUAAGUCUUGGCUUGAGGGAGGUAGCUCCCCCUCGGGCGGUGCGCUCCGGAGUUGGUCACCACUGGGCGUGGUAAAGUCCCACCAGUUGACGGUCCCUAGGGAGGUUCGAGUCCCCCGUUAUUAAGGGAUUUGGUUGUGAGUUAUUGGGGUUAACAUGGUUAACCGGUAAGAUUGGGUCAUAGCCAAAUGAGUGUACAACAAGUAUGCAUUAUGAGUUAUGGAUUUGGUAUCCUAGUCGAGAGGAUCUAGGGCUGAGGUGUAUGUGAGACGUCCAUCGCCUCGAGCCUGGUUCUAGUGCGGUACUCCGCAGACGAUUGACUCAAGACCGAGUCGGGUGGUUAGCCUUGUAAAGGUAGAUGAAACUUUAUGAUUAAAACGGUGAUUGACAAGAAUCUAAGAUAGAGGAAACCUUAGAUAUCAAAUGGAUGAGCUAUGGUUAGCAGAAUUGAAAGUAGUAUCGAAUGAACUACUAGUUGGUUGCAUAGUUGCAUUAUUGCAUGAUUUGCAUAUAGCAUUACAUUAUUGCAUUCGUGAGGCAAUGCAUGGUUUUAUUCGUUGCAUAAUCAAGAUAUAUAUCUAUCUGUUUAUUGAACUAACUUGCAGUUGCCUCCCUUGGACCUAUUGGUCGAGCUUUUCCCUUGGGUGGCCGUACCCACUGGGAACCAUGGAGUUGGUUCUCACCCCACGUGGUUUUGGGGUUUUUACAGGUUCGCACGUGAGCGGCGCGGCGGCGCGAGGCGAGGGCGUAGCAUCAUAGUUAGCGCCCUACCACCGAGACCAGAGAUAGCGAUACCCUGAGUCGGCCUUUACUUAGGGAUGUAAGAAAAUGAAAGGAAUAAGAUUGUAAUAGUCAUGUUAAAUCGGAUUGUAUUUGGAAGUUAAAUGUAAUAAGUAUUUGGGAUGUAAAAUGUAUGAAUAUGAGUGAAUGUAAUAAUAUAGGAUGUGUUAUGUUGUUUGAUACCUUCCAUUAAGCAAUCUUGAUUGAAAUGUGUUCCUGGUUGGAACUUCGCACAUUGUAUUGAUUGCUAUGCCUUGAACGUACAGGGGAGACUCUGUCCGCAGUACAGGAAAAACCCUGUCCGUUCGGCGAUCUGUUGGCGGCGCCGCGACCCGGCCAAAUAGGCAGGCGGUCGCGGGGCGUGACAGCCUCCACCCCUCUCAUUUCAGAAUCCUCAUUUGUAUUCUCAACUUUAAAGUAAUAGAAGAGCUUUCUUCUUAUCUCUCUCUUGUACUUAGUCUAGGGCGAGCGAGGUCCUAACUUAGCAAGUAGAGAGGCAGGCUUGCUCACUUCGCGAAGGAAGGCGAGCACCGCACGGGCUUUUGCAAGCAAAUUCGUUAAGUCCGUGACAGUUGGUAUCAGAGCCGGUUCGAGAAGGAGCCAUGUCGUCAUCAGAGGCCGCUGCUGGCGACGUUGGG
Molecule: long non-coding RNA, 3620 nt
Filed under: Ananas comosus (pineapple)
Lineage: Eukaryota; Viridiplantae; Streptophyta; Magnoliopsida; Poales; Bromeliaceae
Description: long non-coding RNA (ACOM_LNC032719)
Source: RNAcentral